CUUUGUCUUUUUAAUUUUUGUUAUAAACAUUUAAAGAAAUACAUGCUCACAGGUAAAUGCAAUGCAAUUUCGAAUAAUAUAUAUGUCCAUUUGAUUUCUUCAGUUUUUAUGAAAAAUUACACUGAAACACUCAUAUGUUCAAGCUUAACUUAAAUUGGCGUAGAUUUAUAUUGUAAUCACCGAUUUUUUUUACAUAAUGUGAUUACUAUUUUCUGUCACCCUUGCUAACGUUUACCUCUGGGUAUGACGUAUUAACCUCUUUAUUCGGUGUGUUGAAACCAAAUUUGAUUCAAUUGUGAAAAAAACCCUGGUAUAACAUUAAUUGAUGCAUGUCACAUAAGUAAGAAUUUAAAAAAAAAUCCUUCUGUAGCAAAUGCUAAGGAAAGUACGAAGCGUUAUGCAAGAAAGCCCUGGUGUCUUAUAAGAGACGGUAAAAACAGUGCAACAAUGCAAACUAUUCAACUAUAAUUUAAUGAUGUUUUCGUUGGAGGUGGAACAUGUUUCCAAUUUCAGUUAGUUGUCGUCUAUCAUAGAACUCUGAUAUAAGGUAGCAAGAACAAACUAAAAAGUCGCAUACAAAUUAAAGACAUGUCCUUAUAUGGUGAACGAUCGACUUUUUUUUUUAAAGAAUUACAUGUAUGUCCUUUGGAAAUAUUAUAUUGUUAAAAUGACAUCGUUAGGGUUCUCGUCGGUACAAAUCUUGUCAGAUUUUUGUAAAACUUAUAAUUUAGUUUAAUAUCAGCAAUAUUUGGAACAAGUUUUAUAAUGGUAGUAGAUCGACUUUUUUUUUAGAACGUUACGCCCUUGGAAAACAAGUUCACUCAAGUUCAAGUCAUAUAAUCAUUAUCACGCCUGUUAACCCUUUUCCGAUUUCUUUUUGUGCCUCUGAAAAGAGAGUAUAUAGCAAGGUCAGAAAUGUGGACGCCAGACUUCCUUCCUCUAUUUAUUUAUUUUUUAAUUUGCAUAACCAAAAUAUAGAAGACAAUUACUGUACUAGUAUACAUUAAAGCUACAUGUGUUUUGUUAAACUACAUGUAUAUACGCAUGCACUAUUGUAAUUUGCUACAUUGUAAUUGGACAUGACAUGCAGAUUGAGAUUCUUUAUACAUUCGUAUAUCUAUUUCAGUAUAAUAAAUACAAUUUGUAACUAUCUAG
Molecule: long non-coding RNA, 1155 nt
Filed under: Mytilus galloprovincialis (Mediterranean mussel)
Lineage: Eukaryota; Metazoa; Mollusca; Bivalvia; Mytilida; Mytilidae
Source: RNAcentral